AGUCUUUUGGUUUUUAAUAAAAGAUGUUUUCUGCUCGGUGAGGUUUAACAGCCGCGGUAAUUUGACCGUGCGAAGGUAGCAUAAUCAUUUGCUCUGUAAUUUAGGGCUUGAAUGAAUGGAUGUACAAAGGAUUUUCUGUCUUAAAAAAAUAAGUGGAAUUUGUUUUUAUUGUGAAGAAACAAUAAUUUAAUAAGGGGACAAGAAGACCCUUUUGAUCUUUACUUUUUUAAAUAAGGUUUAUUUUGAGAAAGUUUGGUUGGGGCGAUCAAAAAAGAAAAAAUCUUUUUUAAGUAAUUACUUUUGGUCCAGGAUUUUUGAGGUAAGGAUUAAGUUACCAAAGGGAUAACAGCGUUAUUUUUUUUGUGAGCUCUUAUUUAAAAAAAAGAUUGCGACCUCGAUGUUGACUUAUUAGUUUCCUGUUGGUGUAGCAGCUAAAUUGGAUGGUCUGUUCGACCUUUAAUUUUUU
This 466-nucleotide ribosomal RNA is filed under the name Cratenemertidae sp. Guam. RNAcentral describes it as "partial large subunit ribosomal RNA". It matches the Rfam family "Bacterial large subunit ribosomal RNA", at positions 1817 to 2597 of the family's 2925-position model. Lineage: Eukaryota; Metazoa; Nemertea; Enopla; Monostilifera; Cratenemertidae. The record is from RNAcentral.